This 67-nucleotide transfer RNA is filed under the name Schistosoma turkestanicum. RNAcentral describes it as "tRNA-Trp". Lineage: Eukaryota; Metazoa; Platyhelminthes; Trematoda; Strigeidida; Schistosomatidae. The record is from RNAcentral.
AGUUUAGUAGGUUAAUUAGUACUAUUUGCUUUCAAAGCAAAAGGUGACAACUGCAAGUCCUAGACUG